AGAGUUUGAUCCUGGCUCAGGAUGAACGCUGGCGGCGUGGAUAAGGCAUGCAAGUCGAACGAUCCGAUCCUUCGGGAUUUAGGAUAGUGGCAAACGAGGUAGUAACAAGUGGGAAUGUACCCUUUGGUCAGGAAUAACUAUGGGAAACCAUAGCUAAUACUUGAUAUCCCUCCGGGGAAAAGUUUUAACGCCAAAGGAGCAGCCUGCUUCGUAUCAGCUUGUUGGUAGGGUAACGGCCUACCAAGGCUAUGACGCGUAGGGGGGGUGAGAGCCCGAUCCCCACCGUUGGAACUGCGACACGGUCCAGACACCUACGGGUGGCAGCAGCCGAGAAUAUUCCGCAAUGGGCGAAAGCCUGACGGAGCGACGCCGCGUGACUGAUGAAGCUCUUCGGAGUGUAAAGGUCUUUUAUGAGUGAAGAAAUUAUUGACAUUAGCUCAUGAAUAAGGGGCUCCUAACUCUGUGCCAGCAGGAGCGGUAAUACAGAGGCCCCAAGUGUUAUCCGGAAUAACUGGGCGUAAAGGGUGCGUAGGCGGUUAUAUUAGUCGUAUNUUAAAGACCCUCGCUCAACGAGGGGAAUGCCUACGAAACGAUAUGACUAGAGUCUGUGAGAGGUGUAUGGAACUCAUGGUGUAGGGGUGAAAUCCGUUGAUAUCAUGGGGAACACCAAAUGCGAAGGCAAUACACUGGCACAGUACUGACGCUGAGUGCACGAAACCCUGGGUAGCGAAUGGGAUUAGAUACCCCAGUAGUCCAGGGCCUAAACGAUGCAGAUUAGCUUUAGGGAGUAUCGACCCUCUCUGAGGCGUAGCUAACGCGUUAAAUCUGCCGCCUGGGAAGUACGGCCGCAAGGCUAAAACUCAAAGGAAUAGACGGGGACUCGCACAAGCGGUGGAUCAUGUGGUUUAAUUCGAUGAUAAACGAAAAACCUCACCAGGGCUAGAAAUCUAGCCGUAUGCGAUCCUGGAAACAGGAGAGCCUCCAGGUUAGACAGGUGUUGCAUGGCCGUCGUCAGUUCGUGGUUUGAACUGUUCCCUUAAGUGGGGUAACGAACGAAACCCUCGUCGUGUGUUAUAUGUGUCACACGAGACUGCCCCCUCCCCAGUUUUGAACCUUACAGUAAAUGUAAGAGAUCGAAACUGAUUCGAGAUAUAUUUUCUAUUUAAGUAGAAUAAUAUAUUUCGAAACUGGGGAGGGGGGAGGAAGGAGAGGAUGACGCCAGGUCAGCAUGACCCUUGAUGCCCUGGGCUACACACGUGAUACAAUGGGUAGGACAGCAGGUCGCGAAGAGGCAACUCUGAGCCAAUCCUCAAAACUAUCCUCAGUUCGGAUUGGGGGCUGCAACUCGCCCCCAUGAAGUUGGAAUCGCUAGUAAUCGUGGAUCAGCAUGCCACGGUGAAUACGUUCUCGAGUCUUGUACUCACCGCCCGUCAAGUCAAGGGAGCCGGGGGUACCCGAAGUCUGCCUUUAUUGGUGGCCUAAGGUAAACUUGGUGACAGGGACUAAGUCGUAACAAGGUAACC
RNAcentral lists this ribosomal RNA (1523 nucleotides) under uncultured bacterium. RNAcentral describes it as "bacterial SSU rRNA". It matches the Rfam family "Bacterial small subunit ribosomal RNA". The record is from RNAcentral.